UUUAUUCCUACUCCAUUCAUUAAAAACGUUGGAUGGGUAUUCAGCACUCAGCCCUUAUAAUGGCUAUUCAGAAAAUAUAAGGAAUCACUUAAAACAAUUUUAUUCCCAACGUACCCCUCAAAAAAUAACAAAUUUACAAGAUUACAAUUGACAAAAACCUGAGAGGUUAUUCUUUCAGCAUUUUCUUCCCAACGUUCACUUUCCAUCUUCCUAUCAAAUUGAGAAAAAGAAAGCUCAUAACAUCGAAUUUGUCUCUAGUUUCAUGUAGUGGAAUCACACAGCCCACAUUGUCAGAGAACUACUAUCAUUUGCUUAAAAAAUUGCCCCACACCAAGAAAAUAUACACGUGAUCCAAGUACACCAACAAAAGAACCACUCUAAUAAUUAGGGUGUCAGUUCUGCUAUCUUUUUGAGUUUGUUAUGCUUCCUACACCUCCAACUGUACAUGACUUUUGUUCUUAAAUUAUUCUUUCUUUUAAUGACCAACUUGGUUAUGGCUUCACAAUAAGCUUAAGACUUUAUCCUUUGCAAUAUGGAGGGAUUAAUGACUUGUUUAGUUUUUCUUUCAAUAUAUUUAGCCCUCGUGUCAACGUCGUAUUUUGUAUUGCUUUUGUAGCUGUACUUUCUGUGUUAUGUUUGUGUCAUGCAAUCAUAUUGUAUCAAACAUUACCAAGUAUAGCAUCUAAUAGUUGCAUAAGCAGUGUCUCUGUAUGUUUAUGAUACAGAAUUGGCCUUAAGUUGUUGAUUAUUGGUUAAUUAUUCAUGUCAAUAUGAAGUUGAUUUGGCAAAGGCACUCUUGAUGGCUUAUUGUUUCUCAUCUUUAUCCAUUUAAUGUAUGUAAAAGGUGUGUAAAAAGAA
Gossypium arboreum is the source of this 858-nucleotide long non-coding RNA. RefSeq lists it as uncharacterized. NCBI's taxonomy places the organism in Eukaryota, Viridiplantae, Streptophyta, Magnoliopsida, Malvales, Malvaceae. The record is from RefSeq and is a predicted model, not a curated record. The transcript has 2 exons.